UGGGCAGAAAAACUCCAUUGAAACCAUUCCUCUCCCCUAUACGUGUGCUCCCAAGGCAUGGGGAGACCAAAAAACUGAACCAAUUAAAAUAUGUCAUUGAUUUGACAGAAUGGGCAUAGAAUGUAUUAAGUAUUGUUAAAUCAAAAACCCAAAACUCUCUAUUUACUAAUUGAUUUAAAAGAAACUCUUCCUAAUGUUUCUCUCCUGCAUCAAUCAUCUCUCUCUCUCUGCACCUUCUUUCUAACCGUGAAUGCCAUAACAAAAAAACUAUCAUCUUCAAACCCUUCACUUUGAAUCCAUAAAUGCAAUCCCCAAAAUUUCAACAUAUCAUACCAAUCAAAAUCCAUUUUAAACCUAAACCCUAAAUCAGAAAUAGCAAACAAAUAUUCACACGCUACAGAUCCAAACAUAUGUAAAUGAAUUCUAGCGAUUUCAUGAUCGACCAAAACAGUAAAAGGUUCCCAACGGUAUGGUGCAUCAUUUAUACAAAUAAAACAUGCAUAUCAAUGAAAAAUGAGGCGAUGUAAAGCUCGCUGGAAAAAAGAGUUUCCGACGAGGGUACCAGCGAUGUAACCCAACCUCGAGAGUAACAAUGCAGAAAUCGGGGGCCUCCCUUACGAUGAUUGGUGGUCUCUUUAUAUAGAGUGAAGAGAAGUGGUCCCUUAAUCAUGAGCUCGAAGGAGGGAGAAGAAUCAUUCCGUUAGAGUGGGAUUUUCUCAUGGAUUUGGUGUGGUCCCCAAACAAUGAAUGUGGCAAGGCGAGUUCAUUUUGUUGGUAAGAUCUCAACAAAAAUGCGUGACCGUUCUCAAUAGCUUUUUUUUACGGAAGUAAGACCUGUAUUUGUCAUGGUAAGAAUCUUGAUUUUACUGUCAUGAAAGUUGAGUUCUAAAUGUAAUUUGUAUCUCCUUAGCUCAAAGAUUAGCUUAUUGGCUUAGCUAUUCUUUCCUUUUUUACUGAUGUGUGGUUUUGGAACAUAAAGGAUUUGAUUUGGUUUGUGUCAACAGCUAUUUUUACGAAAUCCACCAGGAAUUGUUGAUUGUCUUUGGCUUCAACUUGCAGGUUUUGCAACCUGAGAAAAUGAACAUAGAUGGCGUCCAAACUAGGUAUCCCUUUAAGGUGACUUGCAGGUUACAGUUGGAUUUCCAUUUAAACGGAUGAUACAAAGGACUCUUGGUAUUUUGGUUGGCUUGAGGGCUUUCUCAAGAAAAGGAGUGAGUUGCAUGUUGAAUUGACAUCAAAUGCGGUUGUUUAAAGUGAGCACGGACCUGUAAGGAAGCGUCCAUGGCAAGGUGUUUUGGUUUGUUCACCAUGAAAUUGUCCAUUAUCGUUGGUCAGGUGUAUUACCUAUGUUUGGAUCGGACCCGCUGCAGAUUAUGGUUUGACAAGGGCUACCUUGGUUUCACGCUUAGGGCUUGUGGUUGUAGGUUUUCUGUAAUGAUAGAGCUAAAUCAGGUAGAACCAAAUUAUGUAUCUGUUUGUUAUGAUUCUAAAGCAUGUGUACUCAACUUGCAUUGGUGGUUUGUAGCAAGGAUUGGUUAUAGUUCAGACACCCCUUUUUAGCUUCUUUUUCUAAACUGAUGGGCUUCUUAAAGCGCUCCCUACGUUUCUCCAUUUUAGCCAAUGUAACAAGAAUCUUCUUGCUGCCAAUAUUACUCAUUUGCAACUCAGAA
Molecule: long non-coding RNA, 1670 nt
Organism: Lathyrus oleraceus (garden pea)
Lineage: Eukaryota; Viridiplantae; Streptophyta; Magnoliopsida; Fabales; Fabaceae
Exons: 5
Source: RefSeq, a predicted model, not a curated record